Molecule: ribosomal RNA, 226 nt
Filed under: Neobodo designis
Lineage: Eukaryota; Euglenozoa; Kinetoplastea; Neobodonida; Neobodonidae
Description: partial Bacterial large subunit ribosomal RNA
Rfam family: Bacterial large subunit ribosomal RNA
Source: RNAcentral
GAAAGAACCCAGACCAUCGGCUAAGGUCCCCAAAUAUAUGUUAAGUUGAAUAAACGCGGUUGAACUGCUUAGACAGCUAGGAUGUUGGCUUGGAAGCAGCCAUUCAUUUAAAGAGUGCGUAACAGCUCACUGGUCGAGCGACAGGGCAUCGAUGAUGAUCGGGCAUAAAGUAUAGUACCGAAGCUAAGGCAGUAUUUAAUACUGGGUAGGGGAGCAUUCUAUAGGC